UGUUUAUUUUACCUUGUUGCUUCGGCGGGCCCGCNCNANANGGCGCCGGGGGGCUUACGCCCCCGGGCCCGCGCCCGCCGAAGACACCCUCGAACUCUGUCUGAAGAUUGUAGUCUGAGUGAAAAUAUAAAUUAUUCAAAACUUUCAACAACGGAUCUCUUGGUUCCGGCAUCGAUGAAGAACGCAGCGAAAUGCGAUACGUAAUGUGAAUUGCAAAUUCAGUGAAUCAUCGAGUCUUUGAACGCACAUUGCGCCCCCUGGUAUUCCGGGGGGCAUGCCUGUCCGAGCGUCAUUGCUGCCCUCAAGCACGGCUUGUGUGUUGGGCCCCGUCCUCCGAUCCCGGGGGACGGGCCCGAAAGGCAGCGGCGGCACCGCGUCCGGUCCUCGAGCGUAUGGGGCUUUGUCACCCGCUCUGUAGGCCCGGCCGGCGCUUGCCGAUCAACCCAAAUUUUUAUCCAGGUUGACCUCGGAUCAGGUAGGGAUACCCGCUGAACUUAAGCAUAUCAAUAA
This 510-nucleotide ribosomal RNA is filed under the name Penicillium chrysogenum. Its description in RNAcentral is "eukaryotic LSU rRNA". The stretch from base 140 to 292 matches the Rfam family "5.8S ribosomal RNA". Lineage: Eukaryota; Fungi; Ascomycota; Eurotiomycetes; Eurotiales; Aspergillaceae. The record is from RNAcentral.